Molecule: small RNA, 608 nt
Filed under: Pan troglodytes (chimpanzee)
Lineage: Eukaryota; Metazoa; Chordata; Mammalia; Primates; Hominidae
Description: processed transcript
Source: RNAcentral
GUGUCAACUCCGUUUCGUUCCCUGCUCAUCUAACUCUCAUGGCAGCCUUGCUAGAUAGAGAGUAUUAUUAUCCCCAUUUUCCAGACAGGGACCUUGAGGCCCAGAGAGAUGAAGUAGCUUGUCUAGGGUCACGCAGCUUCCUCAGUGGGGUCGCCGUACCAGGGGCCCUGGCAGGGUCAGCUGCAAGAACAUCAAACCAGAGUGCCCAACCCCAGCCUGUGGGCAGCCGCGCCAGCUGCCGGGACACUGCUGCCAGACCUGCCCCCAGGAGCGCAGCAGUUCGGAGCGGCAGCCGAGCGGCCUGUCCUUCGAGUAUCCGCGGGACCCGGAGCAUCGCAGUUAUAGCGACCGCGGGGAGCCAGGCGCUGAGGAGCGGGCCCGUGGUGACGGCCACACGGACUUCGUGGCGCUGCUGACAGGGCCGAGGUCGCAGGCGGUGGCACGAGCCCGAGUCUCGCUGCUGCGCUCUAGCCUCCGCUUCUCUAUCUCCUACAGGCGGCUGGACCGCCCUACCAGGGUCCGCUUCUCAGACUCCAAUGGCAGUGUCCUGUUUGAGCACCCUGCAGCCCCCACCCAAGAUGGCCUGGUGAGAUGAUGCCAUUUAUGAG